CCUGGUGGCUCAGUCGGUAAAGAGUCUGCCUGCAAUGCAGGAGACCCAGGUUCAAUUCCUGGGUCAGGA
Molecule: transfer RNA, 69 nt
Filed under: Capra hircus (goat)
Lineage: Eukaryota; Metazoa; Chordata; Mammalia; Artiodactyla; Bovidae
Also listed under: 1 other name
Rfam family: tRNA
About the family: Transfer RNA (tRNA) molecules are approximately 80 nucleotides in length.
Source: Rfam by way of RNAcentral